This 72-nucleotide transfer RNA is filed under the name Spiroplasma syrphidicola EA-1. It matches the Rfam family "tRNA". Rfam says of the family: Transfer RNA (tRNA) molecules are approximately 80 nucleotides in length. Their secondary structure includes four short double-helical elements and three loops (D, anti-codon, and T loops). Lineage: Bacteria; Bacillati; Mycoplasmatota; Mollicutes; Entomoplasmatales; Spiroplasmataceae. The record is from Rfam by way of RNAcentral.
AGGGGUGUAGUUCAAUGGUAGAACAGCGGUCUCCAAAACCGUUGGUUGUGGGUUCAAGUCCUGUCACCCCUG